This 235-nucleotide ribosomal RNA is filed under the name uncultured bacterium. RNAcentral's name for it is "partial 16S ribosomal RNA". It matches the Rfam family "Bacterial small subunit ribosomal RNA", at positions 99 to 334 of the family's 1533-position model. The record is from RNAcentral. RNAcentral also lists the same sequence under 1 other name.
CGGACGGGUGAGUAACGCGUGGGUAACCUGCCUCAUACAGGGGGAUAGCAGCUGGAAACGGCUGGUAAUACCGCAUAAGCGCACAGUACCACAUGGUACAGUGUGAAAAACUCCGGUGGUAUGAGAUGGACCCGCGUCUGAUUAGCUUGUUGGCGGGGUAACGGCCCACCAAGGCGACGAUCAGUAGCCGACCUGAGAGGGUGACCGGCCACAUUGGGACUGAGACACGGCCCAG